This 1372-nucleotide ribosomal RNA is filed under the name uncultured bacterium. Its description in RNAcentral is "bacterial SSU rRNA". It matches the Rfam family "Bacterial small subunit ribosomal RNA", at positions 28 to 1381 of the family's 1533-position model. The record is from RNAcentral.
GAUGAACGCUGGCGGCGUGCCUAAUACAUGCAAGUCGAGCGAACGGACGAGAAGCUUGCUUCUCUGAUGUUAGCGGCGGACGGGUGAGUAACACGUGGAUAACCUACCUAUAAGACUGGGAUAACUUCGGGAAACCGGAGCUAAUACCGGAUAAUAUUUUGAACCGCAUGGCUCAAAAGUGAAAGACGGUCUUGCUGUCACUUAUAGAUGGAUCCGCGCUGCAUUAGCUAGUUGGUAAGGUAACGGCUUACCAAGGCAACGAUGCAUAGCCGACCUGAGAGGGUGAUCGGCCACACUGGAACUGAGACACGGUCCAGACUCCUACGGGAGGCAGCAGUAGGGAAUCUUCCGCAAUGGGCGAAAGCCUGACGGAGCAACGCCGCGUGAGUGAUGAAGGUCUUCGGAUCGUAAAACUCUGUUAUUAGGGAAGAACAUAUGUGUAAGUAACUGUGCACAUCUUGACGGUACCUAAUCAGAAAGCCACGGCUAACUACGUGCCAGCAGCCGCGGUAAUACGUAGGUGGCAAGCGUUAUCCGGAAUUAUUGGGCGUAAAGCGCGCGUAGGCGGUUUUUUAAGUCUGAUGUGAAAGCCCACGGCUCAACCGUGGAGGGUCAUUGGAAACUGGAAAACUUGAGUGCAGAAGAGGAAAGUGGAAUUCCAUGUGUAGCGGUGAAAUGCGCAGAGAUAUGGAGGAACACCAGUGGCGAAGGCGACUUUCUGGUCUGUAACUGACGCUGAUGUGCGAAAGCGUGGGGAUCAAACAGGAUUAGAUACCCUGGUAGUCCACGCCGUAAACGAUGAGUGCUAAGUGUUAGGGGGUUUCCGCCCCUUAGUGCUGCAGCUAACGCAUUAAGCACUCCGCCUGGGGAGUACGACCGCAAGGUUGAAACUCAAAGGAAUUGACGGGGACCCGCACAAGCGGUGGAGCAUGUGGUUUAAUUCGAAGCAACGCGAAGAACCUUACCAAAUCUUGACAUCCUUUGACAACUCUAGAGAUAGAGCUUUCCCCUUCGGGGGACAAAGUGACAGGUGGUGCAUGGUUGUCGUCAGCUCGUGUCGUGAGAUGUUGGGUUAAGUCCCGCAACGAGCGCAACCCUUAAGCUUAGUUGCCAUCAUUAAGUUGGGCACUCUAAGUUGACUGCCGGUGACAAACCGGAGGAAGGUGGGGAUGACGUCAAAUCAUCAUGCCCCUUAUGAUUUGGGCUACACACGUGCUACAAUGGACAAUACAAAGGGCAGCGAAACCGCGAGGUCAAGCAAAUCCCAUAAAGUUGUUCUCAGUUCGGAUUGUAGUCUGCAACUCGACUACAUGAAGCUGGAAUCGCUAGUAAUCGUAGAUCAGCAUGCUACGGUGAAUACGUUCCCGGGUCU